UACGAAGGGGGCUAGCGUUGCUCGGAAUUACUGGGCGUAAAGAGCGCGUAGGCGGCACGGUACGACCGGUGUGAAAGCCCCCGGCUCAACUGGGGAGGGUCACCGGUAACGGCCGAGCUAUGAGUGCAGGAGAGGGAAGUGGAACUCCGGGAGUAGCGGUGAAAUGCGUAGAGACCCGGAGGAACACCAGUGGCGAAGGCGGCUUCCUGGUCUGCAACUGACGCUGUGGCGCGAAAGCUAGGGGAGCAAACGGG
RNAcentral lists this ribosomal RNA (254 nucleotides) under uncultured bacterium. RNAcentral describes it as "partial 16S ribosomal RNA". It matches the Rfam family "Bacterial small subunit ribosomal RNA", at positions 524 to 776 of the family's 1533-position model. The record is from RNAcentral.